Molecule: ribosomal RNA, 627 nt
Filed under: fungal endophyte
Lineage: Eukaryota; Fungi
Description: eukaryotic LSU rRNA
Rfam family: 5.8S ribosomal RNA (bases 175-328)
Source: RNAcentral
UACUGAGUUUACGCUCUACAACCCUUUGUGAACAUACCUAUAACUGUUGCUUCGGCGGGUAGGGUCUCCGCGACCCUCCCGGCCUCCCGCCUCCGGGCGGGUCGGCGCCCGCCGGAGGAUAACCAAACUCUGAUUUAACGACGUUUCUUCUGAGUGGUACAAGCAAAUAAUCAAAACUUUUAACAACGGAUCUCUUGGUUCUGGCAUCGAUGAAGAACGCAGCGAAAUGCGAUAAGUAAUGUGAAUUGCAGAAUUCAGUGAAUCAUCGAAUCUUUGAACGCACAUUGCGCCCGCCAGCAUUCUGGCGGGCAUGCCUGUUCGAGCGUCAUUUCAACCCUCAAGCUCUGCUUGGUGUUGGGGCCCUACAGCUGAUGUAGGCCCUCAAAGGUAGUGGCGGACCCUCCCGGAGCCUCCUUUGCGUAGUAACUUUACGUCUCGCACUGGGAUCCGGAGGGACUCUUGCCGUAAAACCCCCAAUUUUCCAAAGGUUGACCUCGGAUCAGGUAGGAAUACCCGCUGAACUUAAGCAUAUCAAUAAGCGGAGGAAAAGAAACCAACAGGGAUUGCCUCAGUAACGGCGAGUGAAGCGGCAACAGCUCAAAUUUGAAAUCUGGCCCUAGGCCCGAG